GGAUUAGAUACCCUGGUAGUCCACGCCGUAAACGAUGAGUGCUAGUUAUCGGGAAAUUUAUUUUUCGGUUUCGUAGCUAACGCAUUAAGCACUCCGCCUGGGGACUACGAUCGCAAGAUUAAAACUCAAAGGAAUUGACGGGGGCUCGCACAAGUGGUGGAGCAUGCGGUUUAAUUCGAUGCUACGCGAAAAACCUUACCAACCCUUGACAUGGUAGUCGCAGACCACAGAGAUGAGGUCUUUCAGUUCGGCUGGACUACACACAGGUGUUGCAUGGCUGUCGUCAGCUCGUGCCG
This 296-nucleotide ribosomal RNA is filed under the name uncultured bacterium. RNAcentral's name for it is "partial 16S ribosomal RNA". It matches the Rfam family "Bacterial small subunit ribosomal RNA", at positions 775 to 1067 of the family's 1533-position model. The record is from RNAcentral.